This 46-nucleotide non-coding RNA is filed under the name Trichobilharzia regenti. The record is from RNAcentral. Lineage: Eukaryota; Metazoa; Platyhelminthes; Trematoda; Strigeidida; Schistosomatidae.
GUUUUGCUGAAGAGUCCCAAACUAGGACGAAACAGCUGUCCAGUAC